GACGAACGCUGGCGGCGUGCCUAAUACAUGCAAGUUGAGCGCUGAAGGUUGGUACUUGUACCGACUGGAUGAGCAGCGAACGGGUGAGUAACGCGUGGGGAAUCUGCCUUUGAGCGGGGGACAACAUUUGGAAACGAAUGCUAAUACCGCAUAAAAACUUUAAACACAAGUUUUAAGUUUGAAAGAUGCAAUUGCAUCACUCAAAGAUGAUCCCGCGUUGUAUUAGCUAGUUGGUGAGGUAAAGGCUCACCAAGGCGAUGAUACAUAGCCGACCUGGGAGGGUGAUCGGCCACAUUGGGACUGAGACACGGCCCAAACUCCUACGGGAGGCAGCAGUAGGGAAUCUUCGGCAAUGGACGAAAGUCUGACCGAGCAACGCCGCGUGAGUGAAGAAGGGUUUCGGAUCGUAAAACUCUGUUGGUAGAGAAGAACGUUGGUGAGAGUGGAAAGCUCAUCAAGUGACGGUAACUACCCAGAAAGGGACGGCUAACUACGUG
This 497-nucleotide ribosomal RNA is filed under the name uncultured bacterium. Its description in RNAcentral is "partial 16S ribosomal RNA". It matches the Rfam family "Bacterial small subunit ribosomal RNA", at positions 28 to 507 of the family's 1533-position model. The record is from RNAcentral.